ACGCUCGACACCUACGGGAGGCAGCAGUGAGGAAUAUUGGUCAAUGGGCGCUAGCCUGAACCAGCCAAGUAGCGUGAAGGAUGAAGGCUCUAUGGGUCGUAAACUUCUUUUAUAUAAGAAUAAAGUGCAGUAUGUAUACUGUUUUGUAUGUAUUAUAUGAAUAAGGAUCGGCUAACUCCGUGUCAGCAGCCGCGGUAAUCUGAGCGGGCUGGCAAGGC
RNAcentral lists this ribosomal RNA (218 nucleotides) under uncultured bacterium. RNAcentral describes it as "partial 16S ribosomal RNA". It matches the Rfam family "Bacterial small subunit ribosomal RNA", at positions 328 to 539 of the family's 1533-position model. The record is from RNAcentral.